Molecule: small nucleolar RNA, 136 nt
Filed under: Castor canadensis (American beaver)
Lineage: Eukaryota; Metazoa; Chordata; Mammalia; Rodentia; Castoridae
Description: Small nucleolar RNA SNORD94 (ENSCCNG00000027406.1)
Rfam family: Small nucleolar RNA SNORD94
About the family: The members of this family belong to the C/D class of snoRNAs which contain the C (UGAUGA) and D (CUGA) box motifs.
Source: Rfam by way of RNAcentral
CAGGUGUGAUGAUUGGCGCAGGGGUACAGACCUCAGCUAAGUCAUGGGAGCUGAAUGUAUGUGUUUCACAUCUGUCCUGCAUGUAGCAGGUUGAUGGCGAACACUUACAUGAGACUGUUGCCUCAAUCUGAGUCUG